AUGAACGCUGGCGGCGUGCCUAAUACAUGCAAGUCGAGCGAACGGACGAGAAGCUUGCUUUUCUGAUGUUAGCGGCGGACGGGUGAGUAACACGUGGAUAACCUACCUAUAAGACUGGGAUAACUUCGGGAAACCGGAGCUAAUACCGGAUAAUAUUUUGAACCGCAUGGUUCAAAAGUGAAAGACGGUCUUGCUGUCACUUAUAGAUGGAUCCGCGCUGCAUUAGCUAGUUGGUAAGGUAACGGCUUACCAAGGCAACGAUGCAUAGCCGACCUGAGAGGGUGAUCGGCCACACUGGAACUGAGACACGGUCCAGACUCCUACGGGAGGCAGCAGUAGGGAAUCUUCCGCAAUGGGCGAAAGCCUGACGGAGCAACGCCGCGUGAGUGACGAAGGUCUUCGGAUCGUAAAACUCUGUUAUUAGGGAAGAACAUAUGUGUAAGUAACUGUGCACAUCUUGACGGUACCUAAUCAGAAAGCCACGGCUAACUACGUG
RNAcentral lists this ribosomal RNA (496 nucleotides) under uncultured bacterium. Its description in RNAcentral is "partial 16S ribosomal RNA". It matches the Rfam family "Bacterial small subunit ribosomal RNA", at positions 29 to 507 of the family's 1533-position model. The record is from RNAcentral.